Molecule: ribosomal RNA, 460 nt
Filed under: uncultured bacterium
Lineage: Bacteria
Description: partial 16S ribosomal RNA
Rfam family: Bacterial small subunit ribosomal RNA
Source: RNAcentral
CCUACGGGAGGCAGCAGUGAGGAAUAUUGGUCAAUGGACGGGAGCCUGAACCAGCCAUGCCGCGUGCGGGAAGACGGUACUGUGUAUUGUAAACUUCUUUUGUCAGGGAACAAAGGCGGGUACUCGUCUCUGGCUGAGGGUACCUGAAGAAUAAGCAUCGGCUAACUCCGUGCCAGCAGCCGCGGUAAUACGGAGGAUGCCAGCGUUAUCCGGAUUUAUUGGGUUUAAAGGGUGCGUAGGCGGUCUGUUAAGUCAGUGGUGAAAGCCCGGGGCUUAACCCCGGAACUGCCUUUGAGACUGUGCGUCGAGAGAGGAGUAGAGGUAUGCGGAAUGCGUGGUGUAGCGGUGAAAUGCAUAGAGAUCGCACAGAACUCCGAUUGCGAAGGCAGCAUGCCAGGUCCACACUGACGCUGAGGCACGAAAGCGUGGGGAGCAAACAGGAUUAGAUACCCUAGUAGUC